RNAcentral lists this ribosomal RNA (489 nucleotides) under uncultured bacterium. Its description in RNAcentral is "partial 16S ribosomal RNA". It matches the Rfam family "Bacterial small subunit ribosomal RNA", at positions 28 to 507 of the family's 1533-position model. The record is from RNAcentral.
GAUGAACGCUAGCUACAGGCUUAACACAUGCAAGUCGAGGGGCAGCAUGAACUUAGCUUGCUAAGUUUGAUGGCGACCGGCGCACGGGUGAGUAACACGUAUCCAACCUGCCGAUGACUCGGGGAUAGCCUUUCGAAAGAAAGAUUAAUACCCGAUGGCAUAGUUCUUCCGCAUGGUAGAACUAUUAAAGAAUUUCGGUCAUCGAUGGGGAUGCGUUCCAUUAGGUUGUUGGCGGGGUAACGGCCCACCAAGCCUUCGAUGGAUAGGGGUUCUGAGAGGAAGGUCCCCCACAUUGGAACUGAGACACGGUCCAAACUCCUACGGGAGGAAGCAGUGAGGAAUAUUGGUCAAUGGACGAGAGUCUGAACCAGCCAAGUAGCGUGAAGGAUGACUGCCCUAUGGGUUGUAAACUUCUUUUAUACGGGAAUAAAGUGAGGCACGUGUGCCUUUUUGUAUGUACCGUAUGAAUAAGGAUCGGCUAACUCCGUG